Molecule: ribosomal RNA, 2892 nt
Filed under: Stenotrophomonas maltophilia
Lineage: Bacteria; Pseudomonadati; Pseudomonadota; Gammaproteobacteria; Lysobacterales; Lysobacteraceae
Description: 23S ribosomal RNA
Rfam family: Bacterial large subunit ribosomal RNA
Source: RNAcentral
GUUAUAUGGUCAAGCGAAUAAGCGCACACGGUGGAUGCCUUGGCGGUCAGAGGCGAUGAAGGACGUGGCAGCCUGCGAAAAGUAUCGGGGAGCUGGCAACAAGCUUUGAUCCGGUAAUGUCCGAAUGGGGAAACCCACCCGCUUGCGGGUAUCCUGCAGUGAAUACAUAGCUGCUGGAAGCGAACCUGGUGAACUGAAAUAUCUAAGUAACCAGAGGAAAAGAAAUCAACCGAGAUUCCGUAAGUAGCGACGAGCGAACGCGGACUAGCCCUUAAGCUGAUUUGGUUCUAGGAAAACGCUCUGGAAAGAGCGGCCAUAGAAGGUGAUAGCCCUGUAUCUGAAAGGGCCAUUUCAGUGAAGACGAGUAGGGCGGGGCACGUGAAACCCUGUCUGAACAUGGGGGGACCAUCCUCCAAGGCUAAAUACUACUGACCGACCGAUAGUGAACCAGUACCGUGAGGGAAAGGCGAAAAGAACCCCGGAGAGGGGAGUGAAAUAGAACCUGAAACCGUGUGCGUACAAGCAGUAGGAGCUCCGCAAGGAGUGACUGCGUACCUUUUGUAUAAUGGGUCAGCGACUUACUGUUCGUGGCAAGCUUAACCGUAUAGGGGAGGCGAAGGGAAACCGAGUCUGAUAAGGGCGCAUAGUCGCGGGCAGUAGACCCGAAACCGGGUGAUCUAGUCAUGCCCAGGGUGAAGGUGCGGUAACACGCACUGGAGGCCCGAACCCACUCCCGUUGCAAAGGUAGGGGAUGAGGUGUGAUUAGGAGUGAAAAGCUAAUCGAACCCGGAGAUAGCUGGUUCUCCUCGAAAGCUAUUUAGGUAGCGCCUCAUAUGUAUCCUCUCGGGGGUAGAGCACUGUUAUGGCUAGGGGGUCAUCGCGACUUACCAAACCAUUGCAAACUCCGAAUACCGAGACGGACUGUAUGGGAGACACACGGCGGGUGCUAACGUCCGUCGUGAAAAGGGAAACAACCCAGACCCACAGCUAAGGUCCCAAAUUCAGUGCUAAGUGGAAAACCAUGUGGAAAGGCACAGACAGCCAGGAGGUUGGCUUAGAAGCAGCCACCCUUUAAAGAAAGCGUAAUAGCUCACUGGUCGAGUCGGUCUGCGGGGAAGAUUUAACGGGGCUAAGCACUGAACCGAAGCUUGGGGUGCAUACUUUGUAUGCGCGGUAGAGGAGCGUUCCGUAAGCCUGCGAAGGUGGAUUGAGAAGUCCGCUGGAGGUAUCGGAAGUGCGAAUGCUGACAUGAGUAACGAUAAUGCGGGUGAAAAACCCGCACGCCGAAAGCCCAAGGUUUCCUUGCGCAACGUUAAUCGGCGCAGGGUGAGUCGGCCCCUAAGGCGAGGACGAAAGUCGUAGUCGAUGGGAAGCAGGUUAAUAUUCCUGCACCUCGCGUAAGUGCGAUGGAGGGACGGAGAAGGUUAGGUGUACCAGGCGUUGGUUGUCCUGGGGAAAGGCGGUAGGUUUGGAUCUUUGGCAAAUCCGGGAUCCUCUAAGACCGAGCACCGAGACGAGCCUUUAUGGCGAAGUCACUGAUACCACGCUUCCAGGAAAAGCUCCUAAGCUUCAGCUUACGCAGACCGUACCGUAAACCGACACAGGUGGGUAGGAUGAGAAUUCUCAGGCGCUUGAGAGAACUCGGGUGAAGGAACUAGGCAACAUGGCACCGUAACUUCGGGAGAAGGUGCACCCUUUUUGGUGGCUCGUGCGAGCUAUAGCUGAAGAGGGUCGCAGUAACCAGGCCGCUGCGACUGUUUAUCAAAAACACAGCACUCUGCAAACACGAAAGUGGACGUAUAGGGUGUGACGCCUGCCCGGUGCUGGAAGGUUAAUUGAUGGGGUCAGCCGCAAGGCGAAGCUCUUGAUCGAAGCCCCAGUAAACGGCGGCCGUAACUAUAACGGUCCUAAGGUAGCGAAAUUCCUUGUCGGGUAAGUUCCGACCUGCACGAAUGGCGUAACGACAGCGGCGCUGUCUCCACCCGAGACUCAGUGAAAUUGAAAUCGCUGUGAAGAUGCAGCGUUCCCGUGGCAAGACGGAAAGACCCCGUGAACCUUUACUAUAGCUUUACACUGAACGUUGAGUUCGUCUGUGUAGGAUAGGUGGGAGGCUAUGAAACUGUGGCGCUAGCUGCAGUGGAGCCAUCCUUGAAAUACCACCCUGUCGUGCUUGACGUUCUAACCUGGGCCCAUUAUCUGGGUCGGGGACCGUGUAUGGUGGGUAGUUUGACUGGGGCGGUCUCCUCCUAAAGAGUAACGGAGGAGCUCGAAGGUACGCUCAGCGCGGUCGGACAUCGCGCACUGUGUGCAAAGGCAUAAGCGUGCUUGACUGCAAGAUCGACGGAUCAAGCAGGUAGGAAACUAGGACUUAGUGAUCCGGUGGUUCUGUAUGGAAGGGCCAUCGCUCAACGGAUAAAAGGUACUCCGGGGAUAACAGGCUGAUACCGCCCAAGAGUUCAUAUCGACGGCGGUGUUUGGCACCUCGAUGUCGGCUCAUCACAUCCUGGGGCUGUAGUCGGUCCCAAGGGUAUGGCUGUUCGCCAUUUAAAGUGGUACGCGAGCUGGGUUCAGAACGUCGUGAGACAGUUCGGUCCCUAUCUGCCAUGGGCGUUGGAGAUUUGAGAGGGGCUGCUCCUAGUACGAGAGGACCGGAGUGGACGAACCUCUGGUGUUCCGGUUGUCACGCCAGUGGCAUUGCCGGGUAGCUAUGUUCGGAAGCGAUAACCGCUGAAAGCAUCUAAGCGGGAAGCGCGCCUCAAGAUGAGAUCUCCCGGGGCACAAGCCCCCUGAAGGAACCAUGUAGACUACGUGGUUGAUAGGUCAGGUGUGUAAGUACAGCAAUGUAUUGAGCUAACUGAUACUAAUGAUCCGUGCGGCUUGACCAUAUAACCU